CCCUGCCGCACGUACAGAGAGGGGCCAGCGGCCACCGAGGCGGCUGCCGGGACCAGCGCCGGCGUCGGAGAGCCCCGCGCCGCGCUCCAGGGAAGACAAGCAUGCAUGGCAGGAAGGCUGGAGGCACCUCCACAGGCAGAGCUGAUCUGCAGAAGGUGAAUGACAGCAAAGCAGCAGCUCCUGGUGGGCACAGAGAGGAUUUACCCACCUCCAGCACGAUGUGAUAGCCAGGAAUCCCUGGAAAGCUCAUUUUCUGCUAAAAAGGGGGAAGAAAGAAGAUAUUAGAAAAGUAAAAUGACUGUAAGAGUUGCCUUCAAAACUCCAACAGCAGAUUGAAAUGUAAUCUCCAACUACUUCUUCACCUCCACAGCUCAGCUCAAAUUCCUCCCAACUGUUUCCUUUACAUCAAAGACACAGAAACUUGAAAAAAAAAAAAUCAAAGCAGCAAACAAAUCAUGAAGGAAAAAGGGAUUCUUAAGCAGUGAGUGAGCCAGGCCUCCAUUUGCCUGAGGAGAGCCCUUGCAGUUGCUUACUAAAAGGUGGGGUCACAUGGGAAGGCUCUUGGCUAAAUCCUCUGCCCCAAAACCCACAUCUAGGCUCAGGUAAGCCUGGUUUAAAGCCUCACUUCCAAACCAGGCUACUUGCACUGAAAGACAGCUGGGGGCACAGAGAAAAUCUGGAGUCAUUGCCAGGGGCUGGGAAAGGGGUCAGGCACCUUGCCAGGGCUUCCCAGGGGCUGAACCUCAGCCACAGUUACCCAGCCCCAACUAAAACCCCGAUUUCUGAUGGGAAAUAAGAGUUUUCAUUAACAGAAUCCAGGCUGGGAGGAUGUCACUAUGUCACAGGUUGGAAUCAUCUGCUCAAUACGAGAUCACAGCAUCAGUCAAGAAUAAAUAUUUGCAUCCUCGUCUCAGAUUUAUUGGCACUGGAGGCUGAUGUGAGUGCACGAGGACCCACAACCACCCAACACAGGAUCACAGAAUCACAGAAUGGUUUGGAUUAGAAGGGACCUUAAAGAUCAUCUGUUUCUAGCCCCCUGCCACAGGCAGGGACACAUUCCACUCUCCCAGGUUGCUCCAAGCUCCAUCCAGCCUGGCCUGGAACGCUUCUAGAGAUGAAGAAUCCACAACCUGUUUGGGCACCCUAUGCCUCACCACUCCCACAGUCUGAAUUUCUCCUAAUAUCUAAUCUCACCCUGCCCUCCUCCAGUGUUAGAGCCAUUCCCCUUUGUCCUGUCACUCCAUGCCCUUGCCCAAAGUCCCUCACCAGCUCUCUUGCCAGGCCCUGGAAGAUGCAAUAAGUUCUCCCCAAAACCUACUGUCUCUCAGGCAGAGAAACCCCAGCCCUCUCAGCCUGUCAAUAUGGGGCCCAGGAGGUUUUUCUCCAUAUGGCUGAGUGGGAAGCAGCCCUCAGAAUGAGAGGGUAAUUCACUGCCCAGCCCUCAGUAACAAACACUGAACACACUCCUGACAUGGGGCUGAGGGAUCUGGCAGGGAGCAGAGCACUCCUGGGGAGUUUCCUUUGCAUUAAGUGCUUUUGACACUAAUGUUGGUGCCUAAGCAAACACAUUAGGAUGACUAAAAACACCCGGGCUGCUAGGAAUCACAGGGCUGCUAGGAAUCACAGAGCACACACUGGGAAUGCAUUGGCUGAGAGCAGAGCAAUGUGCUUCUGUUUUUAAGGCAUGGGUGUGUUGGGUUCUGUGAGGUGCCUGUGGGUGAGACAACUGCACUUCCUCACAGCACCCCUCUGCUAUUUAUGAAGCAGACCUAAAUAGUCUGCAUUAAAAAGUCACAUUUGUGGAUUAUGCUCAUGUGGAGUGUAAUUGGAUUUGAUUGUGCUCUUUGCAGAUACAGGAACUAAACCCACAGCCUGCACUCAGUAGAAUUAGUGUUGCAAGGAUGGCUUAAAGGGGAAGAAAUUCAGCUUCACUGCCUGUAUUUCCCAGUGCUGCCACACAGCACUAAAGGUUUUGUUGCUCAGAUCUGCAGCCCAGAUAUUCCUGUUUGGAAGAACCUGAGAUUCCAGGGAUUAUAAAGGAUGCGUGGGAGUACUAGGCAGAUCUCCAUGCUGAAGAUGAAAAAGACUCUCAUAGAAAUACUUAAUGGCCUUUGAAGCAAGAAUAAAGCAGGCAGGAUAUUUUUAGCAGCCUGCCUGCACUUGCCAACACCUGCAUCUGCUGAUGGCAGAGGCUCCCCAGGGCUGGCACUCAGCUCCUCUCUGCCACUCCACUCUGGAGAGCAAUGCAAGAAAAGUGGGAAAAAACCACACAAGCUUGGCUGAAAGAGUCAGUGUCCCCUACUAAAGGACCCCUGAAAAAUCACCUCUGAAAUAUGUCAGGGAUGAUGGUUCCCCUUCUACCAACCUGUUUGUACUUCAAAGAUGCCACCCUGGAGCACUGAAGGUUGCAUGGUGGGAAUAUCCCUUAGGACAUGAGAAGGACCAAGAUGGGACUUACCCAUCAAGACUUCACAAGCUCCUUCCUUUGCCCACCUCUUCUCUUGGUUAAGGACAUGGUAUUUCCAACUGGAUCCUCUGUUUUGGACUUUCUGGAAAGCCAGAUGGUGGCUGUUGCCCCAAGACACCAGCACUACCCAGCUAUGGAAAUGCUGAAGUGAUGUGAGUUAAAAUGUCUUUGGAACUCACACUUCAAAGCAUCAUAAAAAUACAGAGUGGUUCAGUGUUUUGCAUGUUUGCCUACCACUCCAAAGAACAGUUAGGAGCAGGUUGAUAAGUGGGGCUUUGUAAUUAUCCUGUGUGUUUUUCCUCUCACCCCAUCUGCCAUGAGUUUCCUUAGGAACAGGCACACACACUGGAGUGAAGCAUUUUCCCAUGAAAAACUACCAACACCAGAUUGUGUAUGGUCUGAGGAAAUUACUUGUUUUCACUUGUUUGGUUGUUUGACAUUAAAAAUUUGUAGUGUCUGAAUUUUCCAGUAAGAGAAACUUAAUCUUAUUGUACAAGGAAUUCUCCCAAGCCAGUAAUAACAUUUCUGAAGGAACCAGUCAUGGAAAACAUGUUUCUCAGCACUGUUCUCAGGACAAGAAAUUAAGAAAUUUCUUAGGUAAAUCUAAAGCUAAAAAAAAAAAAAAAAA
Molecule: non-coding RNA, 3095 nt
Organism: Zonotrichia albicollis (white-throated sparrow)
Lineage: Eukaryota; Metazoa; Chordata; Aves; Passeriformes; Passerellidae
Source: RefSeq, a predicted model, not a curated record